This is a long non-coding RNA of Lagenorhynchus albirostris (white-beaked dolphin), 1178 nucleotides long. RefSeq lists it as uncharacterized. The transcript has 3 exons. Lineage: Eukaryota; Metazoa; Chordata; Mammalia; Artiodactyla; Delphinidae. The record is from RefSeq and is a predicted model, not a curated record.
GAACAGCAAAGGUCUGGACACUCACUGUGCAAGCGGCUGAUAUUUUGAGCUGGGCCAGCAAGUUGGGCCAUCUUGGGUAGCCUCUUCCUCCUGGCACGCUUGGCCACCCCGUGGCCCAGGUGCAUGGGGGCCAAGUGGCCCAUCUGGGACAGGACAGGAGGAGGGGGUCAGGUCUGGCUGGCUCAGGCUGCUCGACCUGCUUAGCUCCACGUCCAGACCCAUAGGUCCAACUUCAACCUCCCUCCCCACCUGGGGCAAGCAUCGGGCACCUGGCUCUGCAGAUUCUGGAUUCUCAGGUGCUGCUUCUCCAGGUGCCGCUGCUGCUGGGCCACCUUCUGGAAGAGUUGCUGGAUCCUGCUGUUCUGAGCCUUGAGCUGAGUCUGGGGAGAGUAUAAAACCCUGCUCACUUGCUCCGGGAGAAGCCAGCCACCAUACUGUGAGGACACUCAAGCAGCCCUUUGGAGAGAUCUGCAAGGUGAGGAACUGAGGCCUCCACCCAACAACCAGCAUCAGCUUGUCUGCCACACAAGGGAGCUAUCUUGGAAGCAGAUCCUCCAGCCCCAGUCAAGCUUUCAGAUGAUGUAGCCUCACUUGGCAUCUGUUAGCAACCUCAUGAGACUCCAAGCCAGAACCACCCAGCUAAGCUGCUCCCAAACUCCUGACCCACAGAAAAAAUUUUGAGUAUCAGGAGAUUUCUAAUGAAAAUCCGGAAUUUCUGCUUCUCUUGAAAAACUGGAAGGUCCAACAGGAGUGGUCUGCAGUCCUGCUUGUUUGCAACGGUCCAAAGCUGAAGGGGAGCUGCCCUCUUUGGCCAAGGGAAGCCCUCCCGCCCCAUCACUGCUGUGCGACACAGGCCAUUCCAUGUUCUGUUUUUUUGCAGAUCCUUUAAGCCUCUGAUCAUUGCCUUUGGGCUGGUGUUUUUCUGUUGCCAGUGCCAGCCUCAGACCAGGGCAAGAGGGACCUCUGUUAUGGCACUGCACUUUGGAGGGUGAAUGCCUCCACCAGGCAAGGAGUUGUGGGAGCAAUGGGUAUAUUUACUGGAGCCCAUAGACUUCCUUUUAGACCAUUGAGUUUCCAUUUGGGCUGGUGGAAAAGUUCUGGAACUAGGUAGAAGUUGUACAACAUUGUAUGUGUACUUAAUGCCACUGAAUUGUAUUCAUUAAAAUGGUUAAACUUUU